This 1562-nucleotide ribosomal RNA is filed under the name Vibrio alginolyticus. Its description in RNAcentral is "bacterial SSU rRNA". It matches the Rfam family "Bacterial small subunit ribosomal RNA". The record is from RNAcentral. Lineage: Bacteria; Pseudomonadati; Pseudomonadota; Gammaproteobacteria; Vibrionales; Vibrionaceae.
AAAUUGAAGAGUUUGAUCAUGGCUCAGAUUGAACGCUGGCGGCAGGCCUAACACAUGCAAGUCGAGCGGAAACGAGUUAUCUGAACCUUCGGGGAACGAUAACGGCGUCGAGCGGCGGACGGGUGAGUAAUGCCUAGGAAAUUGCCCUGAUGUGGGGGAUAACCAUUGGAAACGAUGGCUAAUACCGCAUGAUGCCUACGGGCCAAAGAGGGGGACCUUCGGGCCUCUCGCGUCAGGAUAUGCCUAGGUGGGAUUAGCUAGUUGGUGAGGUAAGGGCUCACCAAGGCGACGAUCCCUAGCUGGUCUGAGAGGAUGAUCAGCCACACUGGAACUGAGACACGGUCCAGACUCCUACGGGAGGCAGCAGUGGGGAAUAUUGCACAAUGGGCGCAAGCCUGAUGCAGCCAUGCCGCGUGUGUGAAGAAGGCCUUCGGGUUGUAAAGCACUUUCAGUCGUGAGGAAGGUAGUGUAGUUAAUAGCUGCAUUAUUUGACGUUAGCGACAGAAGAAGCACCGGCUAACUCCGUGCCAGCAGCCGCGGUAAUACGGAGGGUGCGAGCGUUAAUCGGAAUUACUGGGCGUAAAGCGCAUGCAGGUGGUUUGUUAAGUCAGAUGUGAAAGCCCGGGGCUCAACCUCGGAAUAGCAUUUGAAACUGGCAGACUAGAGUACUGUAGAGGGGGGUAGAAUUUCAGGUGUAGCGGUGAAAUGCGUAGAGAUCUGAAGGAAUACCGGUGGCGAAGGCGGCCCCCUGGACAGAUACUGACACUCAGAUGCGAAAGCGUGGGGAGCAAACAGGAUUAGAUACCCUGGUAGUCCACGCCGUAAACGAUGUCUACUUGGAGGUUGUGGCCUUGAGCCGUGGCUUUCGGAGCUAACGCGUUAAGUAGACCGCCUGGGGAGUACGGUCGCAAGAUUAAAACUCAAAUGAAUUGACGGGGGCCCGCACAAGCGGUGGAGCAUGUGGUUUAAUUCGAUGCAACGCGAAGAACCUUACCUACUCUUGACAUCCAGAGAACUUUCCAGAGAUGGAUUGGUGCCUUCGGGAACUCUGAGACAGGUGCUGCAUGGCUGUCGUCAGCUCGUGUUGUGAAAUGUUGGGUUAAGUCCCGCAACGAGCGCAACCCUUAUCCUUGUUUGCCAGCGAGUAAUGUCGGGAACUCCAGGGAGACUGCCGGUGAUAAACCGGAGGAAGGUGGGGACGACGUCAAGUCAUCAUGGCCCUUACGAGUAGGGCUACACACGUGCUACAAUGGCGCAUACAGAGGGCAGCCAACUUGCGAAAGUGAGCGAAUCCCAAAAAGUGCGUCGUAGUCCGGAUUGGAGUCUGCAACUCGACUCCAUGAAGUCGGAAUCGCUAGUAAUCGUGGAUCAGAAUGCCACGGUGAAUACGUUCCCGGGCCUUGUACACACCGCCCGUCACACCAUGGGAGUGGGCUGCAAAAGAAGUAGGUAGUUUAACCUUCGGGGGGACGCUUACCACUUUGUGGUUCAUGACUGGGGUGAAGUCGUAACAAGGUAGCGCUAGGGGAACCUGGCGCUGGAUCACCUCCUUAAACGAUGAU